This 305-nucleotide ribosomal RNA is filed under the name uncultured bacterium. Its description in RNAcentral is "bacterial SSU rRNA". It matches the Rfam family "Bacterial small subunit ribosomal RNA", at positions 333 to 655 of the family's 1533-position model. The record is from RNAcentral.
UUAGCCCUACGGGGCGCAGCAGUGGGGAAUAUUGCACAAUGGGGGAAACCCUGAUGCAGCAACGCCGCGUGAGUGAAGAAGUAUUUCGGUAUGUAAAGCUCUAUCAGCAGGGAAGUGAAUGACGGUACCUGACUAAGAAGCCCCGGCUAACUACGUGCCAGCAGCCGCGGUAAGACGUAGGUGACAAGCGUUGUCCGGAUUUACUGGGUGUAAAGGGCGCGUAGGCGGGAUAGCAAGUCAGUCGUGAAAUGCCGAGGCUUAACCUCGGAGCUGCGAUUGAAACUGUUAUUCUUGAGUAUCGGAGG